CAAGGUCCAGCAAUAGGCUGUCUGCAAGCUGAAGAACAAGGAAGCCAGUCCAAGGCCUGAAGCUGACGAACCUGGAAUCCUGUGUUCAAGGGCAUCCAGUAUGGGAGAAGGAUAUAGACCCAGAGGGUAUCACCAUCCAGCACUGCCAAAUACUCAUUGUCUGAAAGCUAUCAAUUUAUAUGCUGUGUGCUUUGCCCCUACUAAAAAUACACCUGGCUUGCCAAGUAGAAAAAGCUACUGAGAAAGCUCGUCUAUCAAAACAAAUGUCUCUGCAUCUUGUUUGAAUAUUUUAUGGCAUGUAAAUAUUGCUGCCCUAGGACAUCCAACUGAUACCAUGAACUUCCGAGCUUCAGUGAAGAUGAGAAAACUAACACAUUCAGUGGUGAAGAAACAUGCCCAAGUUUACCAGCCAAGACCCCAGAGAGAUCCUGUGCCCCUUCCUACAUGUGAGACCAGAGUGAGAAGACGGCCAUCUGUGAGGAAUUGGGUCCUCACCAGACCCAAUCUGCCUGAGCCGUGACCUUACACCGAAUCUGCCUGAGCCGUGACCUUAUACUUUCCAGCCUCCAGAACUGUGAGAAAUAAACUUCUGGUUUUUUUGUAAGCCAGUCAGUCUGUGGGGUUUUACUAUAGCAGGCUAGCCUGAAUUAAAACAGCAGUCCAUGAUAAAUGCCAUAUAUACAUUAGGAAAAAGGAGACCACAAUGCUUAAAACAUCUUGCCAAAUACACAACCACCUUAAGCUUUUUAGGAAGUCACAAGUAUGAGAAAAGUCAGUUCUAGCAGGGGUUUCAGUAAGGUGAUUCUGCUUUGUGACAAUGGAAUCUUUGUAAAAACAGAAUUAAAAAAAAAACAAAACCCAAAACUGUUGUACAGAUAUUCUCCUUUGAUUGAUUGUGUAUCAGAAAGACACUAAUUGUUCUUUUUGGGAAUACAAUUAAGAAAUUAAAAUGUAUACAUGCCAAAUCAGUAAAAUCUAAAAGAGCAAAAUUGAAGAAUUUUGCCAUUAAUCUGCAUUUAGCCCCAUUUGUCAUCCAAAAGAGUAAUGAUCCCAUUUUAUCAAUGUCAAGUUUUAAUGCCUUACUUUUAUGGCGGGGGCUCUAUUUUCUUUCACCUGGUGCACUUUUAAAUUUCACAAUUAAAGAACAGCAUUUACUAAGCUUUAAUUAAGUUUGAUUAAUAUGUAUGAAUAUUUCACUCCUAUUACUGGAAAAAAUUUUUGGACUUUUUUUCAGUAGAUGACAUGCCAGUCUAAUAUAAAAAUCAGACUUUUAGUUUUGAAAUGUUGGCACGUUUUGCUUUGUGGAAUAUUCCAGUGAAUCAAAUAAUUUCAUGUGGUGUAUGAGCUUAAUGGCAUUGGAAACGGCAGGGCCUUGGCUUGUUUUAAAUCAGAAUUAGAGAUGUGCCAACCUGUCAGAACUCCUAUGCACAAAGUACACUAUAGUUCUUCACACCCUUUUGAGUUCAUAUCAAUCAUUUGAAAAUAACAUUUUUCCCUCAGAAUGAGCUGUCACUAUCAAUUUGAAUAGUGGCUGUUGCGCUGGAAUGUAUCCAAAUUUUCAGCAAGCCAUUUGGUUCAUUAUAUCACAAACCAAAUGACUCGCAAAACCGUAUUUUUUCAUACCGUUUUAAACCAAAUACAGUAAUAUCUCUGCACGGAUUUCAGUCAUAAUUAAGAUAUUUUAAUGCAAAUAUCUAUUUAGAUUUCUAUUUUUUCCUAUUUUGUUAGUAUUUCUGAUUCACUUUGCGAUAUUCAAUUAAAAACCAUUUUUCUCAGUUUGCAAAUGUGUUUCAUUCAGUGGUACUCUAAUUCUGGUUAUAUGUGAUUACCAAAAUGCAAACAAAUUUUGUGAUGUCCUGUUCCUGUUAGAAAACUGUAAAACACUAAAUGUCAUUCAAUAAAGAUCGUGCUCAUGAUAAAAGAAUACUUGUGAAACAUAGAUCUGAAUAAAAAAUAUUUUUCUCAUUUUAGCACAGUUACCAUACAUGGCAUUUCAUAAAAGUCCUGUGAUUCUAGGAUGUUACUUGCACUGAUGUGUCAUUAAAUGUGGCACAAUCUUUUUCAUGGGACCUACAAUGUAAAAUCAGCUGCAUUUUUUCCUAGAGGAAAACAUCUACUGCCCUUCUCUCCUUGCAUUUUUGUUUCAUUCUAUUUCAAAAUUAAUACAUAAGCUUUUGUAUUUCAGGAGAUAAAUUAUUUAUUUUUUCAACCACAGAGAUUUCCAUUUGUACAAGCUAUCAAUUCCAAUUGAGUUUGUAUUAUUAACUCAAAUAAGCUUUACAAACUAUUAUGUAAGACAUAUUCAUAGAGGAUUAUUGCAAUGAAAUCACAUAAACUUUACAGAAAACAUAUUUCACAAGUUCUGGAAAAAUUAAUACCUCAGAAGAUAUUGUUGAUGUAGAAAAUAUGAAGUCCAGAUUGGGGCAUUCACUUUUGAUUCCUAGAUUUCAAAUUACUUUGCCACUUUGAGUUUACUCUGUGUUAUAUAUUACAUAACAUGAGGCUGAAACACUAAACUGCCUAUAUCACUAGGAAGUUGUAAAAGUAACACAAAGUAACAGGUGUAAAAGGAAUUUGAGGCAUUGGAAGUGUCACACUGCAGGAAGUACAGAGACAUCACCUGCUACAAUGAUGCUAGAAAAUCCAACUUAAUUUUACCUACAUUUUUAAAUGAUGUCUGAAAACACCUUUUGCAGCACAUUUACUUCUUUCUAUCUUUUAUCAAAACUUAAAACCUCAGAAUUUAUUUGUUGGUUCUCCUGGCUAACCGAUCAAUUCUUGGUAGUUACUCUUCUGUCCUUUCUAUUUUGCCCUAGGAAGUCUGCAUUCUCAUACUGAACAAAAUUUUUGGUCUUGAACAUUCGCAAUUAUUUCUUUGAUUCUGUGUUCUUCUCUGGUGAUAACUUCUCUUUCAAUCAUAGACAGUGUGCUUCCCACUCCCCUAAUUCAUAAACAUGGUGUUAUGGAUCAUCAUGUUACUAAUUCACUUUCAUUUGCAAAUUAUUGAUCUGACACUACCAUUAAAAUUACUUCAUCAGAUUUAAUGGCACUUUAGCAUGACUUUCUAUUUUCAUUACCUCGAUUUAUGCCCAGGAUUACAUCAGUAUCUUGUUCAUUUUCUUUGUAAUUAGAUGUGUUUUGCCAUAUAUGUCAAUGACUACUGAUUUCCUAUUGAUUUCUUAUUUUUCUUCUAAAUUUUGUAAAAUUAUUAUUUUUAAUCACCAAAUUUCAAUGAAUUUUAUGUGUAUUAGGUUUCACUUACACACAUGGGCAAAUAACACUUGGAUCACAUCACCCUGAACUAUGCUUUGAUCCAAAGAUUUUAAAUUCUAACACUCAUAGUCAUCCCCAAUAGUCUAAUUAUUGUAAUAUCUACAUCCAAUAUUUGUAUAAAAUACUCGCAUUCCUUCAAUCUUAACUUCAGCAUUUAAACCAUCUCAUAUUUUUUCAAAACUUAAGCAGCAAAAUGAAUGUUCUAUCCUUCCAUUGACUCUUUGGUGGAUCAUUUAAAAAAUACAUUAUAUUCUCUUUUUAUUGUUGUCACUAUUAUUAUUAUUAUUAUUGCCAUAUUAGUGGGUGUGAAGUGGCAUCUUGCUGAGAUUUUGAUUUGUAUUUCCCCAGUGACUAAUGAUGUUGAGCACCUUUUAGCCAUUUGUACAUCUCUUUGGAGAAACAGCUAUCCAAGGUUUAUUCCCAUUUAAAAAAUUGGUUCUUUGUCUUUCAUUGUCAAGUUGUAAGGGUUCUUAUAUAUUCGGGAUAGUAGAUUUUUACGAUAUCUUGAUUUGCAAAUAUUUUUUUCUUUUCUGCAGUUGAUGAAAAUGUGCUGAAAUUGGAAUCCUCAAACAUUGCUGGUGAAAAUGUAAAAUACAGUUGCUAUGGAAAGUAGUUUGUUGGCAUCUCAAAAAGUUGAACAUAAAAUUAUUAUAUGAGCCAGUGAUUUCACUCUUAGGUAUAUACUCAAAAGAAUUAAAAACAAGCACGCAAACAAAUACUUGCGCAUGAAUGUUCAUUGCAGCACUAUUCACAGUAGCCAAAAAGUGGAAACAUAACAAAUGUUCAUCAGAAGAUAAUAAACAAAUGAAAUGGAAUGGAUUCAUACAAAUAUUAUUCAGUCAUUAAAAAUGAAAAUAGUUUUAUAUGCUGUAACCUAGGGGAACCUCAAAAGCAUUAUCUAAGUGAAAGAAGUCAGACACGACAAUCCUAUAUUAUAUAAUUCCAUUUAUAUGCAGCUUUUAGAAUAGAUAAAUACAUAUAGACUGAAAGCAGACUAGUGUUUAUUGGGGGUUGGAGAAGAGAGAUGGGAUUGAUUGCCUAAUGAGUAUCGAAUUUCUUUUAGAAUGAUGUAAACACCUUAGAACUAAAUAGGGGAGAUGGUUGCACAAUAUUGUAAAUGGACUUAAUACCACUGAAUUGUACACUUUAUAAAGGUUAAUGCUUAAAUUGAUGUUACAUGAAUUUUAUCUCAAUUUUAAAAGUUAAAUAUUAUAAAAUUUUGUAAAACGUCUUAAAAUUCUUUCCAUCUAACUACAGUACUAUCUUUGGGUAUCCAGUAAGAUCUGUUUGUGCUUCCACUCCUCACUGACGAUUUUUUUUCAUCGUAUGUAAGACUUUCAUUUCUUUAGCCACCUUUCAUACCAUUUCUCUUUUUCCAGCAAGAAAUGUCUCAUUCUUUUCCAAAGUUACAGUUUUUACAUAUAUUGGCUUCAUACCCUCUUCUAGGUCCUGCUUCAUCAAUUAAACCUACUCUUCCUCUUUUCUGUUUACCUGCCAUCCAUAUUUUGUCCUUUCUUCUGGAUCUACACAUUUAACUUGAUUGAUUUACUGUUGGUACCUUCCUUUACCUUCACUCCAUAUGAAAACAUCUACCCCUCUUUCUUUAAAUUUUAACAGCACUCAUCCUGAAUGAGGGAGAUGAAAUACAUCUAAGGCACUGGGAUUGUCUAUUGUAUUUGAGAAAGGGUCAGCAAAAUAUAUCCUAUGGGCCAAAUAUGGCCCAACAUCUAUUUUGUAAUUAACAUUUUGGGGAACAAGGCACACUUAUUCACUUAUAUAUUGUCUGUAGUUACUCAUAUUACAAUGACAGUGUUGAGUAGUGAACACAGAGACAAUAUUGCCCACAAAACCUAAAAUAUUUACUAUCUGGCCCUUAUAGAAAAAAAAUUCAGGUUCCUAUAUUGAAAUAUCAAUAGAUUUCAGAAUUCUAUAUUAGAGUAACAGUAGGUAUUUUAAGAGAUAAAGCUCCAAAUCUCUGGAUUUACAUGAUAGAAAUGUAUUCUCACCUAAAUUCUAUGAAAUAGCGAUAUGGAUUCAGGAAACAAGCUUGCAGAUGCUUUCCGAAAGUGCCUGGACUUCAACUGGCACGUGGUCAAAAAAAAUGUGAAUAAUUAUAUUGAACUUUUCCUAUUUUUCUUUCUUCUUUAAUAGAAUAUACCUUUAAUUGUUAUAUAUUGCUUCCACCAA
Molecule: long non-coding RNA, 5460 nt
Organism: Chlorocebus sabaeus (green monkey)
Lineage: Eukaryota; Metazoa; Chordata; Mammalia; Primates; Cercopithecidae
Source: RefSeq, a predicted model, not a curated record